Bradyrhizobium sp. LTSP849 is the source of this 483-nucleotide non-coding RNA. The record is from Rfam. Lineage: Bacteria; Pseudomonadati; Pseudomonadota; Alphaproteobacteria; Hyphomicrobiales; Nitrobacteraceae.
UCAGUCGGCCGGACGGCCGCCCCUGUAGGUGCCGAAAGGCCGCCGGGGAGGAAAGUCCGGGCUCCCUUGACAUACGGUGCCGGAUAACGUCCGGCGGGGGCAACCCCAGGGAAAGUGCCACAGAGAACGAACCGCCCGCCGUCGCCCCUAACGGGGCUAUGGCGUGACAAGCCCGCAAGGCGCGCCACGCCGAAGCUGCGCAAGCAGCGUAGGCGGGUAAGGGUGAAAAGGUGCGGUAAGAGCGCACCGCGGCUCCGGCAACGGGGUCGGCAUGGUAAACCCCACCGGGAGCAAAACCGAAUAGGGACGGCAAAUGCGGGCCGAUCGCGCAAGCGAUAACGCCGCGGGGCGAUGUCAGGCCCGCCGUCCGGGUAGGUUGCUCGAGGCAAUGUGCAAACAUUGUCCCAGAGGAAUGGCCGUCACGUAUCGUUCGCGCAAGCGGGCGGUGCCUUACAGAACCCGGCUUACAGGCCGGCUGAUAUU